AAGGAAGAGGAGGAAUGCCUAAUGAUCAUUGCAGCGUAAAUCGUGUAAGGAGAGAGAGUGAGUGAGAGAGGAGGAGAGGGAGAGAAUCACGUGAUCGGCCGCUGCAAGGAGGUAAGAUGGCGGUGUCUGAAUCAACAGUCCAAAAUGGUGAUAUUACAACGUUUGGGGAGAAUACAAACAUUGACGACGAUGAUGACUAUGAUCGAGAUACGAUAUUAGAAGAGUUGAAAAACAUUCGAAAUGUCAUUCGAUUAACCAAAGAAAAACUUGAAGAUAUGAACAAAGAAUUUGGUAAACACCAGCAUCCACAUCCAUUAUAUAUUCAGGAAUAUGAACAACUUACAAACAAAAUUCAUGAUUUCCAAUUAAAAGAGCAGCAGCUGUUAGAUAAAGUGAUUAUUCCGUCAAGUGAAACUGAAGAUGAAGAUGAUGAUGAAGAAGAAGAAGAAAAGUUACCUUCACCUACAAAUAGUUCCACAUCUAGUCCAAAGCUCCCAUUGAAAUCUCCUGUCAGAUCUACUAUAAAGGUAUUACUCCCUAAUGCACAAUUCACUCGGGUUCAUGUAAAACCAGGAGUAACCUUGAAAGGAAGUCUUGCUAAAGCUAUGAAGUUGCGUGACUUUGAACCUGACAGAUGUUUGGUAUUUAUACAAAAGCCAUGGCCCAGGAAAUUUAUUCCCUGGGAUGUUGAUCUCUCAAUGCUGGCGGCUGAGGAACUUUCUGUUGAAUUUAUCAGCCAACAUCUCCCCACUGACAAGCCUUUAUGCCACAACUAUGUAAGGAAGACAUUUUUUACUAUAGCUUUCUGUGAUCUGUGCAGAAAGUUGUUGUUCCAUGGUUGUUAUCGCUGUGCAACUUGUGGCCUCCGCGUGCAUCAACGUUGUAUACACCGGGCUUACAGCUACUGCGAUGGUGGUGAUGAUUACCAUUCACAUUAUGGUAGUCCAAAUAGAAUUUCAGAACCAAUGUACAAUCAACCAUUUCCAGAUGUAUCUCAUACACUACCUACAUACGUUUCCAGUCCGUUCAAUCAGUUCCAGACAUUGCCAAAUCAACGUAACACUCGUAAGCGUCCUCCUCCAAUAUGCCAGAGAGAGCGUUCAACAUCAGCUCCAAAUGUCUGCUGUAAUCUAGUCAAUAGCUCCUUUUUGACAUCUGAACAAGAAUCGGGUAGAAAGAACAUGGACUAUCCUGGAGAUCAUUCAAAUGUUGCUGCACCAGGUACAAACCACAGCAACAGAAGUAACAUGAGCCACAGACAAGCUCUUCAGUAUAAAGAUAAACGUCAUGCUAGCGACAGUAUUACAGCUAUUUGUAAAAUUUCUCCAUUUUUCUCUUCCUUUAUGUCCAGAGGUCACAACACUAAUUGUUUGGCUCCACCUAACUCUGGUUCAAGCCACAGUCAGGGAAAUAGUCCAACUAAAAUCCACAGUGCAAGGGGUUCACCUACCAACCAAUCUGAACAAAUGCGGCCACGUGCAAAAUCAGUAGAAUCAGAGCUAGGACAACAUGUGCGACUACGACGAGAUUCAAAUGAAGAAUGGGAACUUCCUGACAAAGAAAUUAUAUUAAUUCGUCGAAUUGGUUCAGGAUCAUUUGGAACAGUAUUUUGUGGUCACUGGCAUGGGCCUGUUGCUGUGAAAAAGCUGAAUGUAGUUCAUCCAACACCUGCGCAAUUAGAAGCUUUCAAAAAUGAAGUUGCUGUCUUAAAGAAAACUCGACACUUAAACAUCUUAUUAUUUAUGGGUUACACCAUUGAACCUCAGCUUCAGAUUGUCACUCAGUGGUGUGAAGGGUCAAGUCUUUACAAACGUUUACAUGUAGAAGAAACCAAGUAUGAUAUGUCUCAGUUAGUUGAAAUAGGUCGUCAAACUUCACAAGGCAUGGAUUAUUUACAUGCAAAGUUUAUCAUUCAUAGAGAUUUGAAGUCCAACAAUAUAUUUUUGACAGAAGACUUCACUGUCAAAAUUGGUGACUUUGGUCUUGCAACUGUGAAAGCUCGAUGGAGUGGAUCCCAUCAAUUCCAACAGCCAACUGGUUCCAUUCUGUGGAUGGCUCCUGAAGUAAUAAGGAUGAAAGAUGACAACCCUUACACAUUCCAAUCUGAUGUGUAUGCGUAUGGUAUUGUCUGUUUUGAGUUGAUGACCAGCUCACUGCCAUAUUCUCACAUCAACAAUAAGGACCAGAUCCUCUUCAUGGUUGGUAAAGGCCAUAUACGACCUGACCCCAGUAAAUCCAGAUCAGAUACACCCAAAGCUUUCAAACGUUUGAUGAUGGAGUGCUGUAAAUACGAUCGAAAUGAAAGGCCUCUAUUUCCACAGAUAUUGUCUUCUAUUGAAUCUCUGAAGAGAUCUCUUCAAAGACUACAAAAAAGCCACUCAGAACCUACACUGCGGCCACAGUCAUCAGAUGACUUGGAUCUAUUUAAUGUAUUUUCAUCACCAAAAACUCCCGUCAACUGUCAAUAUGCACAGUUCACAUUUUAUGAUUUAGAUACCUGAGAAGGUAAUGUUGAUAUCAACAGUUUGGGGUGUUGUAUUUCUCCAGUAAGAUCGAAGAAAAAAAAAAUUUAGGUAAAUGAUGAAGAGAGAAAGUAUGAGUUUUCUUUUUUCUUUUUCUUUUUUUUUUAAUAUAUAAAAGAACAAUUUUAAGUUUAAUGUUCAUUCCUAACACUGCUGUCAAAGCGUUCCAGUGGAAACUAAGAUGAUGAUGAUAAUUUUAUAAGCAAUGAGGGAACUUAGGUUUCUGUGAACAGUACCGUGUCUUUCUUUACUUGGAAGUGAAGAUCCAAUGAAUAUUGCAUGGAUUUCUGGAAUUCCAAUAUUUCUGGCUGUACUAUAUUGGUUUUUUUUUUUUUUUUUUUUUUUUCAUUCUGUCUAUACUGUUGGUUGAAACAGAGAAGAUAGCAGCAGCAGCAGCAAUAUUAUUUGUGGGUUGACUUCAAUCACUGUUCUCCUUGCUGCAAACUGUUAUUGCUACUUUGACAAGAGAAAACAACAAUUUCACUCAUUUCAGGAUGAGCAAGAAAGAACAACACAGAUAAGAGUUGCUGUUAUCACCUGCUAUUAUUCUCUUGGAUUGGGCUCGAGGAUUCAUCACUGGUUCCAUUGAUAGUAUUACAGCUAACGAUGAGUACAAGUUAGUCAUCAACAAACACAUUGAAACAUCAUGAAUUCACUUUAUUUUCUUUGUGUAUUUUCUUUUGUGCCAUUCUCUCUCUUCCUUCUGGUCCAUUAACACUUUAUAAACACGUUCUAACUUAUAUACUAAAACAUUGGUGCCAUUUCCACGUGAUUGCUAAAGAUAUUUUUUUCAAUGUUACAAUGUUUGCAUAGAUGUGUGGUGUGUGUGUGUGUGUGGUGAGGGUGUGGCUUUUUUCAAUUACACAUAUAUUUGUGUGUGUGUGUGUAUAUAUAUACACAUACAAAUUUAUAUAUAUAUAUAUAUGUAUACACAUACAUACGCACACACACUCACACAUUGUAUUUGAUUAAAGAGAGAGAGAGAGAGAGAGAAGAAGAAACCAUUAGUGAAAUGAUUUAUCACUGAGUAGAUUUAAGAUAUCCUGUGCCUUUUUAAUCUGGUGAAUUUUAAUCUCUGCUUUCUCUACAGCUAUAUUUACUGUUAUUGAUUCUUUUCACUUCCAAUUUACCAGCUUCAUGUCUCUGACAGAUUCUACUGGAUUCUUCAGAAUAUUUUGGUCUCUAUAAAGCUGCUAUUCUAGCUUCUUUUUUUAAUCUCUUAAAUAUUUGAUUCUCUGGCUUAUGCGUUAACAGAUAUUGUUAUAUUUUUUUUUCUUACUAGUUUGUGUUUUUAUAUUGAAAAAUACUUCAUCCCAAAUUUUAUUGCAUCUUAUUUUCAAUGAUGCCAUCAGCAUUAAAACAUCCAUGUGUCUGAUGUUAAAUAACUUUAGUUGUAUCAUGGCAGUUAAUGCCAUAUCUAAUCUUGCCCAAGCAUUCUUCAUCACUGUUCCUUUAGCUGUAGAGGCCUGUCAUUUACUGUAGCUAAACAGUAAACUAUUGCAUUAAAAUUGUAACCACAUUUUAUUCUAUAGAAAUCAAGGAUGGAACUAAUUUAAUGUUUUGUUUGAUAUUUUUUUUUCAAAAAUAAAGUAUAAAUUUUAAAACUUUGGCAAUUCUAACAGGAAAUUUCCUAAUUGUUGGUGCUAAGUUACCACAGUUCUGUAAUGUUCUCAUAGCAUCAAAUUCAUUUUUAGAACAUUUUUAACUGAGUCUGGCAAAUCUAUUGAAAACUCUCUCAACAAGCUCCAUUCAUUAGUAUUAAAUGUCAAGAAAAUGGAGUUGAUUUUCAUACUUCUCAUAUCCUGGCCAAUUUUCGUUUUUCUUUUCUUUUUCACCUUUUUGUGGAAUUUUUCCUUUCUGUAAAUUAUUACAUCUAUUUAAAUAAAUUAUAUAUGUGUGUGUAAUAUGUAUAUAUGUGUAUAUGUGUGUGUGUGCAUAGAUAUGUGUGUGUGUGUGUAUGCAUGUAUAUGUAUAUAAACUACACUAAUCUUAGCCAAAAGACCACAUGCAGGUGUUUGUGUAUACACACAUGCACACUCACUCACACACACACACACACACGUGCACGCACAUUGUGGCCACUGAUUAUCACAGCUGAUAAACAGAGAAGACAAAAUCUGCAGGUUGCUGUCAAAAUCCAAUUGUAUGCCUUGUGCAAAGUGUGAUGCAGAUUUGUUGAAACAUUUUCGUAUGAAGUAAACCAAUAAUUCUGUACAUAAACCUUAUGAUUAGUUUAUUUUAAUUUUACUUUUCUUUUAAAUUUUAAUAAUGUUUUGAUAAUAGGUUAAAAUGUUAAAAAUAUAUUCCUUGUUUAUUUUGACUCUGGCUCUGCAUCUAAACAUUUUAUAUAAACUGGGUUUUUUUAAAUUUUAUUUUAUUAGUAAAGUUUCUUUAAAACAAACCUAGGUUUAAAUAAUAUCUAAGUUCCCUCUUUUUUCCUGCUGUUUGUACUAGUGUAUGAUGAUGAUGAUAAGGCUUGAAAACAAUAUAAUACAUUUAUUUUAUUUUGCUAUUACAGUUAACAUUAAGUUGGUGAUGAAACAUUUUGAAAUUUUGCUGUCUAUGUUCCUCAGAGCUCUGAUUUGUUUGCUGGUGUUGUUAUUAAACAAAACGAACAGUCCAAAGUUUCUAUAUCAUUUUUAUUUAAUAGUAUGCAAAAUAUAGCAGUACCCUCUUCAAGCCACAGGCUGCUCUUUUUAAUUGUCUACAACUUUUAAAAGUGGGAAUUUCAUUUGGUUGCAUUAGUCUUUUUUAUUUUAAAAUAUUUUUUAAAAAUUGAAAAAAAUAUUAGCUUCAUGACAUAUAAAAGAAAUGUUAAGAUCGUUACAAAUUCCUUUUGUUUGCAUUCACAAAGUGUGUGUGUAGGUAGGGGGGUAUUCUUGAAAAACAAACAUUAUGAUGCCUACCAUAACUUCUUUUCCUAAAUAAAAAAUUUUAAAGAUAUAUUUGGUGAAUUAGUUUUAGACUGGACAUUUUUUGUUAGUAUUCUUAGCUUAAGACCAACAUUUUCUUUGACAAAUAUGUAGCAGUGAUGUUUAUUCUUUUAAAUAUUCUCCUUUAAUGAAAAAAAAUUCUUCAGCUUGCUCCUCCCUUUAAACUUGUAUUGGAUAACAUUUUAAUGCUGAUACCAAAAUUUAUAUUUUCCCCUUAUAUCUUAUUCAUUCCACAAUUUCUCUUAUUCUCUAUAGAAAAUGUCUUUCUUCCUCUCUUUACUCUUCAACUAAAGUUGCUUUGAAUUCAAAUUUCUUGUUCUUACUAUUAAUUCUUUCUUCUGAGAGUUCUUCUUUGCUACAGUUCUUUCCCAAUGUUGUUGGUUUCCUGUAAUCUUCUAUCUCACCCACCAUACAUUUCAUUAUCAGUGAAAUGGCUGAUGAAUCAGAGUCUUGCAUGCGGGCACCCUUGAUCCCCCCUACCCCAUGCUCAUUCAGUUCUAGUGCCAGAUGUUGCCAGCCCUGCCACCAAAUCUGCAAGUGAUGCUACCGAGUUCCUGCUCAUCUCUGCUCUUGCUUGCUGUCCCCCCCUCCCCCCUCUUACGAUUAACAAACAUCUGCAGACAAAUUCUAUUGAUGAAAAGGAGGAGAACAAAUAUAUGAUGCAUGUUAGAAUAUGGAUGUGUGUAUGGAAGAUCAGUGGAGGAAAAAAGAACUUUUUUUCUGUCCUGAGCAUCCUAACUCUGACUAAAAUACUCUGGAAAUGAAAAAUGGACAUGUUUUUUUUUUAAAAAAAAUACUUUAAAAAAAUAUUUUCAAAAAAAAGUAAAAUUUAAGAAACAUUUAAAAAAAAGGAAAACAUGAAAAUGAAGACUGUUAAUAUAUGAGGACUGAUGAAAUGUAUUAUUUAUAUCAACUUCAGGACAGGCUAUUUCAUUUUAUAUAUUUCACAUAAGUUGUAAAGAUGUUACAAUGAAGUUCUGUAAAAACUGU
Molecule: unclassified non-coding RNA, 6445 nt
Filed under: Octopus sinensis (East Asian common octopus)
Lineage: Eukaryota; Metazoa; Mollusca; Cephalopoda; Octopoda; Octopodidae
Description: serine/threonine-protein kinase A-Raf, transcript variant X3
Source: RNAcentral